UACGUAGGGUGCGAGCGUUAAUCGGAAUUACUGGGCGUAAAGCGUGCGCAGGCGGUUUUGUAAGCCAGAUGGGAAAGCCCCGGGCUCAACCUGGGAACCGCGCUUGAGACUGAUGGGCUAGAGUUCGGGAGAGGAUGGUGGAAUUCCCAGUGUAGAGGUGAAAUUCGUAGAUAUUGGGAAGAACACCGAUGGCGAAGGCAGCCAUCUGGACCGACACUGACGCUGAGGCGCGAAAGCGUGGGGAGCAAACAGG
RNAcentral lists this ribosomal RNA (253 nucleotides) under uncultured bacterium. RNAcentral describes it as "partial 16S ribosomal RNA". It matches the Rfam family "Bacterial small subunit ribosomal RNA", at positions 524 to 776 of the family's 1533-position model. The record is from RNAcentral.